Molecule: RNA transcript, 1235 nt
Organism: Glycine soja
Lineage: Eukaryota; Viridiplantae; Streptophyta; Magnoliopsida; Fabales; Fabaceae
Gene name: BTB/POZ domain-containing protein At1g04390-like
Exons: 5
Source: RefSeq, a predicted model, not a curated record
GAACCUGUUGCCGAUAUUUUGGGAGCGCAUUAUUAUGGGUUCUUCAAUGCAAAAGUGAGGCUUUGUUAAGCAUGGCAUCAGAUGUGGCAGUAAAGAAGUUGCAACACCCUGUGCUAUUGCUUUGAAUUUGGUAAUCUCAAAUUUGAGUGCUACAAGUGAGAAGGCAGUUAUGGAAGCAUUGAAAGAAACAGAGACUUCCAUGCGUAUUGUUGGAAAUAGAAAAGAUUUUGCUGAAGGUGCAAAAAAAAUUGAAUAUUUUGAAGAGACGACUUUGCUUUUGAGCACAAUACUGUGGUGCUGGCCUCCUUCUAGGUUCCCUGUUGCUUUAUGUGAUUCUGUAGCAAGAAAACUUAUAGAGGAUGGAGAAGUAUUUCCACAAAUGUUUGUGCUUGCUCAAUGUCUAUUGAGAUCCCAAGCGAAUUGUUUAAAAGUGGUUGGUUUGUGUGGUGAAGCUCUUGUUGAUGCAAUAAUUUGUGGGAUGAAAGAAACUGGGCUGAGUUCUAAAUAAAUUGGGAACAACCAUGGGUCUUUGUCAGGGGAAGCAUGCCAGUCGGCUCUAAUUACUCGCAGGGCGGGUGAUAAUCAUAACAAGUUUUGGAAACAAGGAAUUGAUAGAAUUCUCCUUAAUCUUCCUGAUUGAAAAUAUUCAAGACCAAUUGUCUAAACCUGUCUUGUCAUUGAAAAAACAAAUAUCCAUGGUAAAAGAGGGAUUAAAAGCCAAUUAUCAUCUUGGUCUUGGGAGUUAUCUAUGAGACAUUCUUGGGUGGCUUACUAUUCACUGUGGAGAAAAUUUAAACCCUCAUACUCAUGGAACUUGAGUUUUGUGGAUACACUUGAAAAAUGGUGCCGAAUAUGUCAAAAGGAUAUUGCUGAUCCUUUUCAAGGCGAACCAGUAUCAAGGGCUGUUCUCGUGAUGAUUCAUUCUCCACGUAAUUCUAUCUCCUCGCAUGGUAGAUUCUUAUUAUUAGAUGUACUGAAUGCGAAAGGCUUGUCAUGCUUGAAAAGCUUAAUUUAAUACAUACUCUGGAUUAUACAUCAUCCCUAUAAAGUUAUGGAUCAUUUGAUAAACUUCAACUGGUUAUUAACUUAAUUGGGUUGACUUGUCUUUCAAGUUUACCAGAGUAUCAAAGAUGUAUCAUAUAGAGCAAAGGGAUAAAGGCAAUUGCUCUUCUUGUGAAACGAUGCUUGAUUCAAAUUCAUAAUUUAAAAUCUGGAUGCUAUUAUCGCUUUGAGAA